GUGGGCCACGGGAUUCGUGGGCAGAGGAAGGGCACCAGCUCUGUGUUCCUUGUGCACAUGAAGCAGGAGGGCUCAUAGGCCUGCAUGCUGUGGACUUAGCUGAGCGGCACAGCUACAUCAAGGGCACCUUGAAGGACAUGCCCCUGCUGAGAUGGUCUCCAGGAUCCACACCAGUUUAAGCAGCAGACAGAGCUGUCCAUCACCACCAAGGGCCUCCACACGGGCCAAUUUCUGUUUGUGUACUGUAGCAAGAGGGCCCAGCUGGACGUCGGCAGCGUCCUCCCUGCAGGCACCACACCUGUACCAUCAAGCGCUGCCUGGAGGAGAGGCUGAGACUGGAACUUGUUAGCCUGGGCCUUUGAGAACUACACCGCAGUCACCUCCCCUAGCCCGGAAACCAGGAAGACUUACAUGAAGCUGCCCUCCAAGAGGAUCAUCUCAGCCAACAGAGCUGUGGUCAAUGUGGGAGCCAGAGGUGGCCGAACUGACCAGCCAUCCUGAAGGCAGGCCAUGCCCACUACAUAUAAGGCAAAGAAGAGCUGCUGACCAUGGUGCAGAGUAUGGCCGCAAGCCCCAAGGAACGUCCCUUCAGAGAUGGCAACCACUGGCACGUUGGCGAACCUGCCACUGCAGAGAUGUCUCUGCUGGUAGCAAAGUGGGUCUCAUUGCUGCCCACUGGACU
Molecule: long non-coding RNA, 682 nt
Filed under: Homo sapiens (human)
Lineage: Eukaryota; Metazoa; Chordata; Mammalia; Primates; Hominidae
Description: non-protein coding lnc-COMT-3:1
Source: RNAcentral